GGGAGGUACUGGCUGAGGGGAGUAGAACACCUGGUUAGGGGAGGUGCUGGCUAGCAGAGUAGAACACCUGGUUAGGGGAGGGGCUGGCUAGCAGAGUAGAACACCUGGUUAGUGGAGGUGCUGGCUAGCAGAGUAGAACACCUGGUUAGGGGAGGUACUGGGCUAGCAGAGUAGAACACCUGGUUAGGGGAGGUACUGGGCUAGCAGAGUAGAACACCUGGUUAGGGGAGGUACUGGGCUAGCAGAGUAGAACACCUGGUUAGAGGAGGCGCUGGCUAGCAGAGUAGAACACCUGGUUAGGGGAGGUACUGGGCUAGCAGAGGAGAACACCUGGUUAGGGGAGGUACUGGCUAGCAGAGUAGAACACCUGGUUAGGGGAGGUGCUGGCUAGCAGAGUAGAACACCUGGUUAGGGGAGGUACUGGCUAGCAGAGUAGAACACCUGGUUAGGGGAGGUACUGGCUAGCAGAGUAGAACACCUGGUUAGGGGAGGUGCUGGCUAGCAGAGUAGAACACCUGGUUAGGGGAGGUGCUGGGCUAGCUGAGUAGAACACCUGGUUAGGGGAGGUACUGGCUAGCAGAGUAGAACACCUGGUUAGGGGAGGUGCUGGCUAGCAGAGUAGAACACCUGGUUAGGCGAGGUGCUGGCUGAGGGGAGUAAAAC
Oncorhynchus tshawytscha (Chinook salmon) is the source of this 663-nucleotide long non-coding RNA. The record is from Ensembl. Lineage: Eukaryota; Metazoa; Chordata; Actinopteri; Salmoniformes; Salmonidae.